ACCUCCUGAGACGGGAGGAAGAAGCUCAGGGCUGUGCUAAGUGAGUAGCCUGGUCAACUGACUUCUCCAGAUUCCAAAAGGCCUCGGCCAGCAAUACCUAGUCAGCUCAAGGCGGACACUGGGCCCUUUGUGAGGUAAGAGAAGCAGCUAACAUUGUCAGGGAGACAGACAGCAGGACUCCUGCAGGAGCUCCACCCCCAGCCAAUGAGUGAUUCACCGCCCUGCUCAACCUUCAACCAGACUGAUUCUGCACAUUGUCUACCAACUCUUCAGUGUCGUAUCACUCCUGUCCAAACUUGCUGCUGAUCCCUGAUUCCAAGUCCCAGCCCUUUAUUAACAUUUAUUUUAAGGGGCUUCAUUGGGCUCUCCCUUGCAUCCUGGAAACAUCCUUCACACUGACUGAGCUUACUGAAGCAAAGCUCCGGAGCCUUUCAGGGCUUGGACUUCUAUAUGCAGUAAAGCUCCCAGUCUUGACCUUAUCCAUCAGAUUCCUCCCUCCACUUCCACAUGUUUUGUUCAGAAAUUAUUUCAGGAACACCAUCCUAGUCUUAACAAACACAGUUUUUUCUCUCU
Pipistrellus kuhlii (Kuhl's pipistrelle) is the source of this 573-nucleotide long non-coding RNA. RefSeq lists it as uncharacterized. The record is from RefSeq and is a predicted model, not a curated record. NCBI's taxonomy places the organism in Eukaryota, Metazoa, Chordata, Mammalia, Chiroptera, Vespertilionidae. The transcript is spliced from 2 exons.